UUUCUCUCUGUCUCUCUCUCUCUCACUGUCUGUAACUCUACCUGUCAAAUAAAUUUUAAAAAAUUUAAAAAUUUAAAAAAAAGUAAUUUAUAAAGCUCCUUUCUGGCUGAGGGCACUACCUUCCUCAGUCGGCUUCACUCAUUCAUCGUUUCCACCACCAGCUGAGAGCUCCCUUGUGGGCAGCCCAUUGCUCAGACAGGAAAAGUAGUCACUGGACCUGGUAGAGGACAACUGAGGGUGGGCGAGGACUGAGCUCACUCCCUGUCUUGGCUACCCCUGCUCAGCCAGGCCCUUGGAGCUGGCUGCAGUCACAUUGUGCCUGCGACAGAUGACAAAUCAGUACAAGUUGUAGGACUGCAGGGUCUCUGGGGGAGCAGUUGAAACCAGAAAUCAUAUCGCAGAACGCCGAGGGUAUGUACAACUGGAUGCGGGUGUUAGCACAAAACUGACUCAACCUGCAGAGGACAAGCAAAGGCCCAGAGAGCGGGCCAAGACUGAGCCGGCUUGAAAGAGUUAGGCGAGGGCAGGGGCAGUUCCUGUCAGGAGUCUGGGGCGGGGGCAGCCCCUUGGCCUUCUGGGAUCAUCCCAUCACCAAACACUGAAUCGUGGGCUUGUGGGGCUCUGAGCUGUAGCUCCUGUCACACCUUCUCCCAUGUUGCUGGAUAUCUUCACUCCUCUUUUCUCAGUCUCUCUCUUCCACUCUCUCUCUUCUGUCUCUUGCAUCAGUUUUAUUGAGGUGUAAUUGACAUGCGAUGAACUGCACACAAUGUAAAGUUCAUAAUUUUGCAGCUUUCAAGCAUACUGCCAAACCAUCAUCAAACUCAGGAACAUAGCCCCCACCCCCUGGGGUUUCCCGCUGCCCCCUUUCUUUCCAAAUCGAUCCUGCUCUUCUCUGUUCCUCCCCACAAGCCUCAGGAACCACGGACGUGAAUUUUGUCACUACAGAUUCGUUUGCAUUUCCUAACAUGUCACAUACAUGGAAUCAUCCAGUAGGCACUAAUUUUUGUCAAGCUUCUUUCACUCAGUGUAAUGAUUUUGAGAUUCACGUGUGUUGUUGUACUGAGAGUUCACUCCUUUUUAUUGCUCAGUAAUAGUCCGUUGUAUGAGUGUAGCACACUGUGCUUCUCCAUUUUUUUUUUUUUUUUUUGCUGAUGGGCAUAUGGGUUGUUUCUAGUUUUUGGUGUUGUGGUGCAACAGGUUAAGCUGUGCUUGGGACCCCCGCAUUCUAUUUUGCAGUGCCAGGGAGGGAGACCCACCUCGGCCUCUGUUUCCUAACGCACAGGGGAGGCAGCAGAUGAUGCUUCAAGCACCGAGUUCCUAUCCCCCGUAAGGGGGAUCCGGAUGGAGCGCCUGGCUCCUGGCUUCGGCUUGCCCAGCCCUGGCUGUUGUGGGCAUUUGGCAAGUGAACCAGCAUAUAGGACAUCUCUCUUUGUUUGUCUGUGUGUCUUUCUCUCUCUGCUGCUUUGCCUUUCAAAUAAUUAAAAAAAUAAACGUUAAAAACAAAUGAAAUUUCUGCAAGUAUUGUCAUACGAGGCUUUUUUGGGCUUAGGUGUAGAAACAUAUUGAACUUUUGGAGAAAGUGCCGUGCUGUUUUUCCAGGUGGUUGUACAAGUCCCAGUCUUUCCACACCCUUGCAAUCGCUUCUACCGCCAAGCUUUGUGAUUUUCAGCCAUUCCCAGGGGUCUGUUUUUAUAUACGGAUAUCCAAUUAUUUCAGUGUGAUUUAUGAAAAAUUCUAUCUUUACUGAGUUGCCCUCACAUUUUUGUCAAAAACCAUUUGUCCCUAUGUACUUGAGUCAUUAAUUCUUUUUUAAAAAGAAGAUGCGUGACCAUGCCAUAAUCAUAGCCUGAUGAGCCGUAUCCGUGACGCACGAGGAUUUCAACCUUCCCAGCCCUGGGUGCGUUCUGGGGAUUUGUGGCUGGGUCCAGAUUCACAACGUGGACCCCGCACUGCCUGAGGGUGGGGAUGGGGUCAUCCCAUAACACCAGGGGGUGGUCUUCUCCUGGAUUGUUCUCUAGAUUCUGAUGUCACUGAAGGACUGGCUAGACUCUGCUCUCUGACUGAUGGAUCUGUCCUCCCAGCCACGCUCACUGCCACGUCUGGCUUUUCACUGGGUUCUGUCUAGUCUUCUUCUCUGUCCUAAGCUGAAGCCUUAAUGACUUUGGUCAAUCUAGCCCGGGUCUGAAAUCCGAGCCUCUUCCACCAAGCAGGGUGGACCUGGGAGCACACCAGUCAAAGGUCGCAUGAGAAGCCACCUUAACUGAAGUGGCCUGGUCUCCUCAGAGAAACAUAAAGUAUUCAACUCAUUGGCUUAAAAAUGUUUUAUUGAGAUGUAAUUCACAUGCCAUAAAAUUUACCCUUUAAGAGUGCACGUUUCAGUGGCUUUUACUGUAUUCAGAAAGUUGCGAAACCAUCACCAUUAUCUAAUUCCAGAACAUUUUCAUCACCUUAAAAAAAAAAAAAAUCCCCACACCCAUUAAGCAGUCACUGCCCAUUUCUCCUACCUCCUGCCCCUGGCAACCACUAAUCCACUUUCUGUCUCUCCGGAUUUGACUCUUCCGGACAUUUGAAUAAGGGAACCACACAGCAGCCUCUGGGCCUGGCUUCUCCACGUAGCACGCUGUUUUCAAGGUCCAUCUGUGUUGUAGCAUAUGAAAACACUUCACUCCUGUUGAUGGCUGAAUAAUAUUCAGUGUGUAGAUACACCACAUUUGGUUUAUCCAUUCAUCAACUGAUGGUCAUUUGUCUGUUUUUUUCAACUUUUUUUUUUUCCUACCGUAAUGUUUUUAUGAGCAUUUGUGUAUGAUUUUUUUUUAAGAUUUAUUUAUUUCACAGAUAGAGUAACUGAGAGAGUCAGAGACAGAGUGAGAGAUCUUCCGUCUGCUGGUUCAAUCCUCAAAUGCCUCCAACAGCUAGGACUGGGCCAGGCAGAAGGCAGGAGCUGGGACCUCCAUCUGGUCUCCCACAUGAUCUGCAGGGACUCAGGUGCUUGAGCUCUCGUCUGCUGCUCCCCAGGUACACGAGCAGAGGCUGGAUUGGAAGUGGAACAGCCGGGACUUGAACCAGCACUUUGAUAUAGUCUGGGGGCUGCGCCACAGCACCCGCCACUGUGUGUGAACUUUUAUUUGGACACGUUUUCAGUUCUUUUAUACACCGAGGAGUUUAACUGAUGGGUCAUGGUAACUCUAUAUUGAACUUUCUGAUACACCGCCAGACUAUUUCCCAAAGUGUCUGCGCUGUUUUCCAACCUUACCAGCACUGUGUGUGAGUACCAGUUUUUCCACAUUCUCUCCAACACCUCUUAGUUCCUUUUGCUUGGUAGCCAUCCUGGUGGGUGUGAAGCAGUAUGUCAUUGUGGCAUUGAUCUGUCUUUCCCUAAUGACUCCGGAUGUUGAACAUCUUUUCAUGUAAAUAUUGCCACUUGCAUAUUUUCUCUGAAAAAAUGUCUGUUCAAAUUCGUUGCCCAGUUUUUAACUAGGGUGUCCUAUUGUUGUUCAGUUGUAAGAGUUUGCAUAUUAUGGAUACUAGUCUCAUCAGAGGGGCCGGCGCUGUGGUGCAGCAGGUUGGCGCCCUGGCCUGAAGUGCUGGCAUCCCAUAUGGACGCCGGUUCAAGUCCUGGCUGCUCCAUUUCUGAUUCAGCUCUUUGCUAUGGCCUGGGAAAGCAGUGGAAGAUGGCCCAAGUCCUUGGGCCCCUGCACCUGCGUGGGAGACCCAGAGGAAGCUCCUGGCUGCUGGCUUCGGAUUGGCGCAGUUUCGGCUGUUGCGGCCAAUUGGGGAGUGAACCAGUGGAUGGAAGACCUCUCUCUCUCUCUGCCUCUCCUCUCUCUCUCUCUCUAUGUGUGUAACUCUGACUUUCAAAUAAAUAAAUAAAUCUUAAAAAAAUAGCCUCAUCAGAAAUAUGGUUUACAGGGGCUGGUUCUGUGGCAUAGUGGGUAAAGCCGCUUCCUGCAGUGCCGGCAUCCCAAUGGGCGCUGGUUUGAGUCCUGGCUGCUUCUCUUCCAAUCCAGCUCUCUGCUGUGGCCUGGGAAAGCAGUAGGAGCUGGCCCAAGUUCUUGGGCCCUUGCACCCAUGUGGGAGACCUGGAAGAAGCUCCUAGUUCCUAGCUUCAGUUCGGCACAGCUCCGGCCAUUGCGGCCAACAGGGGAGUGAACCAGCAGAUGAAAGAUUCUCUCUCUCUCUGCCUCUCCUUUUCUCUCUGUGUAACUCUUUCAAAUAAAUAAAUAAAUCUUUAAAAAUAAGAAAUCUUAAAAAAAGGUUUACAAAUCUUUCUCAUCCCAUAGGUUCUUUUCACUUUCUUCAUGUCUUUUGAAGCACAGAAGUUUUUUAUUUUAAUGAAGUCCAAAUUAUACACUUCUUUGUUAUAAUCAUCUGCUUUCUACAUUAUGCACAAAGAUCAUGAAGCUUUCCUAUCAAGCACAAUAAAUAAUAAGCGGCACAUCUCAAUUCCAUGUUAUGGCAAUUAAAAAGUUUUUUAAAAGAUUUUAAUUUUUUGUUUUCACUACAUUUGAAAGACAGUGAUACAUAUUCAGCCUGUGUGUGUGUGUGUAUGUGUAUGUGUAUGUGUCUGUGUGUGUGUAUGUGUGUGUGUGUGUGUGAGAGAGAGAGAGAGAGAGAUCUUCCAUCUGCUGGUUCACUCUCCAAAUGACCACAAAAGCCAGGGCUGAGCCAAGCUGAAGCAGGAGCCUCAAACUCCAUCUGGGUCUCCUAUGUGGGUGGCAGGGACCCAGGGACUUGAACCAUCAUCUGCUGCCUCCAAGGAAGCUGGAUUGGAAGCAGAGGGGCUAGGACUCAAACCGGGCGUUCCAAUAUGGGAUUCAGGCAUCCCAAGAGGCACCUUACGCGCUGUGCCAAACGCUUGCCUCCAUGUUGUGAAAUUUCAGGGGUGGAAUUGAUAUGGGGGGCCAGGAGAAGGUAGGGGAGACUCUUUGCUUGGAUUUUAGAAUUCAAAAUAAGGUUGAAUAUUAGCCACAGCCUCUGAGCACGAAGCACCCAGUUUUCAAGGAGAGCUAGCUCUUUGGGAACGGCUCGAACCUUAAAACUUACAGUAGUUUUGCAUGGGGUAAAGCCACAGCUCCUAGUAGGAGUUCAAUCCCUGGAUUGCCCUCCAGGACGGGUGAGGAGGGGGAGGCUGUGUCAGACCGAAGGGAUGGGACUGCUGGGGGUAAGCCCGAGGGAGGGGUGCAAGGAGAGUGACACCUGAGGGAGGAGGAGGAGGAAGCAGGUCGGUCGGCCCAGGGGAGCGCUCAGACCCGCGGCGGAGCCCCUGCCAGCCAACAGGCAGCUUGGGGCAAACAGGGCUCCAUGUGAGUGGCAAAGGGCGAGGCUCGCUCAGCCCUGGCUGGGAACUGUCCCCAAGAAGACCAAGAAGACCAGGGCUCAAAGCCUGGGGAGGCGGGAGAGCUGAAGGAACUCCCUGCGGGGGCAGCUAAACCUAACCCUGGGCAGCGAGGCAGCAGGUGCUCUGGAGAAGGGGCGUGGUCUCUGUCUCUGGGCGUGGUCUCUGCCUCUGCCUGCCGUGCACCAGGACUGCAGGCUAGAGUUCCAGGGACACGCGCGGCCUUAAGGCAACCGCGCUGCCUGGUUUCCUCCUGGUUGACGCGGAGAAAAUGUCCCCUUGGCGGGCUGUGGGAGGCUUGGGGCAGAAGCGGGUGAGCAGAGUGCGGGGCGCAGCACAGGCAUCUGGCGAGGGUGCGCGUUUCCCUCUCCCCCAGAUGGAAAUCAGCCAGGGGAACAUUCUGUUCCGCUAGCCGGUCCCGCCCUGCUCGGUGUAGACUUCAUUUCCUGUCGUCUUCCAGGAGGCAGCCGAGCCCCAGGGCCGCCGCCUUAGCCUCUGGCUGUGCUGCCCCUGUGCCCCAGGGACUGAGAAGGCCCCUGGCUUGUCCCUCUCCCGACUUGCUCAGCCUGGGGGACUCCAAGACCUCCCCGGCUGCUGGCCUUCCCAGAGGGGUACUGCUGGUCAGUGUUAGGAUGGGGAGGGGAGGGAGGCUUCCUGGAAUGUUCUAGAAGUAAGCAAAUUGCACCAUCUCCUCCAGCUGCCUGGGAGUGCAUUCCACGGAGGAUUCCUGUAAGCAGCAGCAUCGUGUUCCUCUUUCUAAGUGCCUCAUUAAAAGCCCGGAGACAGACUCCCCCUGCUUCCCUCAGCCUGGCGGGAGAGACUGCGCCUACCCGGGAGGGGGCAGGAGGUGCCCUGGGCCAGCCAUUACCCCCCACUGGGUGCCCUGACCACGGCGACACUGGUCUCCAAGGCCCAGUCACUUCCCACAGGCAUGUAAUUUGGCCCGAUUUACCGGGAAGUCGCAUAAACACGAGCCACUUGCGUUUCUUCCAGUAGCUGCCCUGGGCUCCGCGGGGCCCCCUCUCUCUUUCCUGCUGGGGAGCAACGGCUUGGUUUGGCUCCGGAAUUUUCGAUGACUACCACAGCCUCAUUCCGUGAGGGGACACGAAGCAGACUGGGCUGUGGUUGCAGGCCCCCAGGACGGCGAGGACCCCUGCGCCUCCGAGGCGCUGUGUUGCAGGUCUCUGGCAAGGGAGGCUCUGGGCUGCAUCCGAGAACAGCUGGAGUCCUCCGCGGAGCUUCCCCGCACGCCGGCCUCCCGCCAGCUUCCCCAGCGCCUUGCCGCAAGGCUGAGCUCCAGGGAAGGAUAACUCCUGGAGGCAGGCGCUCAUAUCAUCUGAAGCAGGGAGUAGCCAAGCAACUGGCCAAGGUCACAGAGCAAAAUGUGGCAGAACCGACACUUGUGGCCUCCAGCCUUUCAUCUCAGGAGUCUGCAGCUUCGGCUCUCAUCCUCUUGGACCACUGAGACCUCCACGCGGUGAAGAGGCCUGAUCUAGUCCCAUUGAGAAUAGAAGAAUAUGGGGAGAGGGAGGCCAGCCAACCCACAGAUGAAUGAAGCCACAGUGAGCUCUGGAAAGACCAGAAGAACCAUCCAGUGAACCUAUAGAAUAAUGAGAGACAAUAAAUUGUUACUGUUUUUAAGUCACUAGUUUUGGGGUAGUUUUUGAAAUAAAAAAGAUUUUAUUUUAUUGACUUGAAAGGCAGAUUAUGGGGGCAGGAGGGGCAGAAAGAGAGAGAGAGAGUGUGUGUGUGAGAGGGUUUUUCUAACCAUUGGAUCACUCCUCAAAUGGCUGCAAUGGUCAGGGCUGGGCCAGUAUGAAGCCAGGGGCCAGGAACUCCAUCCAGGUCUCUCACAUGGCUGGCAGGGGUGCAAGCACUUGGUCCAUCUCCCACUACUUUCCCAGGUGCAUUAGCAGAGAGCUGGAGCAGAAGUGGAGCACCUGGAACUCGAACUGGUGCUCAUAUGGGACACUAGUGUUACAGGUGGUGGCCUAGGUAAUUCAUUCAUGAAGAUAAUGUCAUUGAGUUAUUCCGUAACCUCGUGCAUCAGUCAUAGUUCUUGAUUUCAAGGAAAGAGAAAGUCUGAUGGUCAUUUAUCUAAAGGACAUUAUAUCUUCAGAAAGGCUGACAUACCGCAAUCAGAGCUGCAGUCAGAAAUGUUGCUAGUCGGUCACCAACAGUGUCCCUCCAUGGCUGUGCCAGAAGUUCAGUGGUGUUCAGUUGGGAUGCCAGAGCUGCGGGCUGCCCACCCACGUUUCUUGGCAUGACUAGCUCCUGAUUCAAAACUACCACAGUAAGUGCUUCUGCCUGGACAACCUUGGGUCCUGUGUCCUCAUCCUGGCUACACAAGGGAAUUUGGGAAAGCAAACACCUGUCAUUUCAAGCUCAUAGCAUUAUCACAUGCCAUGCAGGCCUGUGCAAUGGCUUGGAUGUGUCCCUCAAUUCACAGGACAGCAGUGCUGAGAGAUGGGACCAUUGAGAGGUGACUUGGUCAUGAAGGCUCUUCCCUCCUGAAUGGGUUAAUAUUGUGAUUGCAGGAGUGGGUUUGUCACCACGUGCUGCUUUCCACCAUGUUAGGAUACUGCAAGAAGGCCCUAACGGACGUGGCCCCUGGAUUUGGACUUCCCAGCCUCCAGAACCAUGAACUCCAAAGCAUCUCUGGUUCAUGGAUUAGUCAGUCUGUAGUAUUAUGUUACUGCAGCAGAAAAUAGAUUAAGGCAAGGAGGAUGUGAGCCAAAAAGAGAACGAUGAGCGUCCUCUACGGCCCCUCCUCUUCCAGACUGAAGUUAAUGUACACUCUUCUUCCCAUAUUCAAAUUAUGCAAAGAAAAAGGCCCUUCCUGGUAGAAUUCUCUUAUCUCUUGCCUAACAAAGAACAGCUUAUCUCCUCCACAAAUUCUCCUCAGCUACAGCAUCCAGCUUCAAGUUUAGAAUCUGUGGUUGAUAUCUAUCUCUCCUCUAACCCUGUUAGGAAUUUACAUUGGUAUUCUGUAAUUUGUAGAAUAAAUUGUGGACCAAAACAUGAUGAACAUACCCUAUAUGAAAAAGUAUGAGAGGGGGCUGGCACUGUGGCAUAGCAGGUAAAGCUGCCGCCUGUAGUGCUGGCAUCUCCUAUGGGUGCCAGUUCGAGUCCCAGCUGCUCAACUUCUGAUCCAGCUCUCUGCUGUGGCCUGGGAAGGCAGUAGAAGAUGGCCCAAAUCUUUGGACCCCUGCACCCAUGUGGGAGACCCAGAAGAAGCUCCUGGCUCUUGGCUACAGAUUGGUGAAGCUCCAGCCGUUGCAGCCAACUGGGGAGUGAACCAGUGGAUGGAAGAUCUCUCUCUCUCUCUCUGCCUCUCCUCUCUCUGUGUAACUCUGACUUUCAAACAAAUAAAUAUAUCUUUUUUUAAAAACAGUGUGAGAAAGGGGAGUAACAUCUGUUCAUAUAUAUAUAUAUAUAUAUAUAUAAAAUCUAUGUAGAGUUUUUAAAUAACAUGCAUUUUUCAUGAAUUUUUUGAAGAUCUUAUGCCUGUAUGCAAUUCAGCAUUUUUGGCAGCAAAAUAAAUUUGUCUUUUAAUUCCAUUUUUCACUGUUUUUGAAGUAUUCUUGUAUCACAUGGAAGGUAGUACAAAGGGACUCCUGCCCAUGUUUUCACUAGUUGAACUAUAGAUAUUGUGACUCUGCAGUUGGUACUUAAGAUUUCCUUCUCCAUUAACUUGUCCAUGUUUCCUUUGUUUGCAACCAGUGCUCAGUCAGUCCAGGUUGUUAUAACUGAUGGGUGGCAUAAACAUUCUGUUUUGAGGGAUUUGAUAUCUUAGUUGUUUUAUCUGUGUGGAGUUGCAAUGGUUUCUCAUCGAUUUAUUACUAGUGGAAAUGAAAGUAUUAUAAAUUACGCUAGGGGACCCCUUGUGUUUAAUCCAUACUCUUUUGUGAUCCCAAUGUAUUGUAGCAGUCUUAUUUCCCCUUCAUGAUGCAGAGUAAUUACUCCAGCUGUUGAUCUAUUACCUAUCUAUUAUUUAUUUACCUACCUAUCCAUCUACCUACCUAUAUCCAUUUUUGUCUGUUUAUUCAAGUGGGAAGAGGCGCCACAAAUACUUAGUUUAUUCAAUGAAAUAACCUUUAUGUUUCCUAUUAGAAGCAUUCUUCUCUGGAUGCUAAAAUGUCUAAAUCCAUGAUGCCCAGAGUAUAAAUAUUGGACACACAAACUUGACUAACACAUCAUUUAGUGUAAUAAUGAGAAGUGCCAUUACCACUCUGCUUUUUGGUUUCUGUACACAUGAUUUCUGGCUCUGUAAGACAGUAUUCCUGAUGGCCCAAAGAAUAUGCAAUUCUGCAAGACAGUAUCUCAGCCAUAGAAAUAAGUCAAAUGAGGAGAAGCAACACAUUAAAAUUAAGGCACGAGGCUGACGCUGUGGCACAGUGGGUAAAGCCACUGGCAUCCCAUAUGGGCACCGGCUUGAGUCCUGACUGUUCCACUUCUGAUCCAGCUCUCUGCUAUGGCCUAGGAAAGCAGUAGAAGAUGGCUCAGGUCCUUGGACCCCUGCACCCAUGUGGGAGACCUGGAAGAAGCUCCUGGCUCCUGGCUUCGGAUUGGCACAGCUCUGACCCAUUGCGGCCAUCUGGGGAGUGAACCAGUGGAUGGAAGACCUCUCUCUCUCACUCUCUCUCUCUUUCUCUCUCUGACUCCGCCUCUCUGUAACUCUGCCUUCAAAUAAAUAAAUCAAAAACAAAAAAGAAUUAAGGCACCCUGGGAAUAUAUGCUCAUGAAAGUUACUUGUAUGAUUAAGACUUUGUUGAGCAUUGUCCUGCUUGUAUUACAUCCAUAGAAA
Non-coding RNA from Oryctolagus cuniculus (rabbit), 10142 nucleotides. The record is from RefSeq and is a predicted model, not a curated record. NCBI's taxonomy places the organism in Eukaryota, Metazoa, Chordata, Mammalia, Lagomorpha, Leporidae.